Pantherophis guttatus is the source of this 548-nucleotide long non-coding RNA. RefSeq lists it as uncharacterized. Lineage: Eukaryota; Metazoa; Chordata; Lepidosauria; Squamata; Colubridae. The record is from RefSeq and is a predicted model, not a curated record.
CCCCAUGUUUGCACCUUUCUUGAAAUAAAUACGAAUGCAUGAGUUGGCAACAGCUACAAAUGAGCUGUAAAAGUCUGCGGCUUGCAGAAGAAUGGACAACAGGAACAACAAAUCUGAACAAGCCAUAGUGAAUGAAACAGAUCUUUGGGGCUGAUCUUUUGGAGCUACUCUUUAAGAUGUGCCUUGGUGAACUUAACAGUAAUGCAGACUGUCGUCAGGGCUGUCUUCAGAUCUUUGGAAUCGUUUUUGCAUUGCACAGUACAUAUUUUAUUAGAUGUUUGCUCGAUUGGAAUAUAUAUCUAGGAUUUGUGUGUGGGCGCAUAUGUGCUUGCCAUUGUAAAUACUUUUGGUGCAAGCUGCUUAAUAAUAUCAAAGUUUUGUAUUUCUAAGUAUAUAUUGACAGAUACAUAAGGAUUUCCAGAACAAUUAGAAUAAAAGAAGGGCUGUAGCUUAAUAAUUCUUCUGCCUUUUAAAUUACUUAUAUAGUUCUUUUAUAGAGUGCCAGUUUGUAUUCAGCCAAAUAAUUAAAUAAGAACAUUUCCAUCUGA